This is a non-coding RNA of Pangasianodon gigas (Mekong giant catfish), 70 nucleotides long. Lineage: Eukaryota; Metazoa; Chordata; Actinopteri; Siluriformes; Pangasiidae. The record is from the annotation of a GenBank genome assembly.
UCCCUGGAGGACUAGCGGUUAGGCCACAGUGAUCUCACCUGCGGCUUGGGUUCGAUUCCCGGCCAGGGAA